UUCUUAUCAAGAGAAGUCGAGGGACUGGCCCGAUGAAACUUCAGCAACCAACAUUAAGUCAGGUGCUAAAUCCAGUGGCGAAUGCCAGAAGAUGAGAA
Regulatory RNA element from Solibacillus silvestris StLB046, 98 nucleotides. It matches the Rfam family "SAM riboswitch aptamer (S box leader)". Rfam says of the family: The SAM riboswitch is found upstream of a number of genes which code for proteins involved in methionine or cysteine biosynthesis in Gram-positive bacteria. Lineage: Bacteria; Bacillati; Bacillota; Bacilli; Caryophanales; Caryophanaceae. The record is from Rfam.